Molecule: ribosomal RNA, 146 nt
Filed under: Trichoderma harzianum
Lineage: Eukaryota; Fungi; Ascomycota; Sordariomycetes; Hypocreales; Hypocreaceae
Description: 5.8S ribosomal RNA
Rfam family: 5.8S ribosomal RNA
About the family: 5.8S ribosomal RNA (5.8S rRNA) is a component of the large subunit of the eukaryotic ribosome. It is transcribed by RNA polymerase I as part of the 45S precursor that also contains 18S and 28S rRNA.
Source: RNAcentral
ACGGAUCUCUUGGUUCUGGCAUCGAUGAAGAACGCAGCGAAAUGCGAUAAGUAAUGUGAAUUGCAGAAUUCAGUGAAUCAUCGAAUCUUUGAACGCACAUUGCGCCCGCCAGUAUUCUGGCGGGCAUGCCUGUCCGAGCGUCAUUU